This 111-nucleotide ribosomal RNA is filed under the name Candidatus Terrybacteria bacterium RIFCSPHIGHO2_01_FULL_43_35. The record is from RNAcentral. RNAcentral also lists the same sequence under 2 other names. Lineage: Bacteria; Candidatus Terryibacteriota.
CGUGGUGACAAUGCUGAUGAGGCAACACUCCUUCCCAUUCCGAACAGGAUAGUUAAGCUCAUCAAGGCCGAUGGUACUUGCAAUCGCAGGGAGAGUAGGUAGUUGCCACGG